UUUGACGACAAUACUUAAGUUUUCACACGAACGACUAACAUGAGACUAAUAAAUAUUUACAUAUAUAACGUAAUACAUUGAUGCAUGUAUAUAUAUGUAUAACCAUUUGUAUAGUAAAUAAAUUGUAAUGUCGUAUAAAUAAUAUUUUUACAAGUAAAUAAAUUAAUUUUGAAAAAAAAAAAAAAAAAAAAAAAAAAAAAAAAAAAAAAAAAAAAAAAAUGAAAGAGAAAAGAGUAAGAAGUUCAAUUUAAUAUUUUUUAUAUAUUUAAAAAAAAUUAAAAGAAAAAAAAAAUUAAAAAAAAAAGUUAAAUUUAGUUCAAAUAGUGUUAUUUUCAUGUUUUUUUGGAUAAUAUUACAAAAAGUACAAACAAGUACAAAUAUAUACAUGCAAAUAAGUUGAUAAUUUUGUUGUGCCAAUAAUUAAUAAUAUUGAGUAAAGUAUAUAACAACACAUAUAACAUAUUAUAUAUAUAAUAAACAUUUGCCUUCCUAAUUACAUAUAAUUUUGAUAUAUACUUGUAAAAAAUGGAUUUCCCUAAAUUACUUAAUAAACCUUCAUUAGAAUUACUCAAAAAUGAUUUCCCACACGCAAACAAAUUCGAAUUAGAACAUACAAGUGUUUCUAAGCAACCACUUCUUAAAAGUGGACUCACCUUUUCAAACAACACUUACAGUAUAUACACCAAUUUAAAAAAUAGCGUUUACAACACUAACAAUGAAAUAAAGUUUGAUAAAACGGGUAUUAGUUUACUAGACAUCAAAUAUGAACCAAAAUUUGUUAAAAAUUUAAACUUAUGUGGAAAAUAUACAAAAAGCAACGAAAAAGAAGCUGAUGCAUAUGAAGUAUAUGGUGAAUAUAAUACAAAUAGUAUGAACGUAUUUACAUCAGUAAAUGUCAGAAACUUAUAUUUUAAGUAUAUUCAUGUUGGAUCACAUCCAAAGUUUCCAGAAUUAAAAAUUGGAGGUACAUUACAAGGACACUUAGACAAUAAAAACUUACAAUACUCAAUAGGAGGGGCCUAUACUAAAAAUUAUUUUGAUAAAAAAUAUAUUAUUUCUUUUAGAUCUUUACCAACCAAUAAACACAUUUGCGGAUCAUUAGCUUUUAAUUUAUAUUAUCAGAACAAAANNNNNNNNNNUUUUUUUCUCCAUCCCCAUUUCCACUUCUUCACCACCACCAGCACCAUCCAAUUUGUUAAAAAAGUUUGCAUUUUUAUUACAAAGCAAUACAUUUUUGUUUAUAUUCAUACAAUUGUUUUCUCUUAUUUUUUUUUCCUUUAUUAAAUUAUAUUUUUUCAAACAAAAAUGAUAAAACAUAGAAUUUAAAAUAUGUAUACAUAAAUUUAUUACAUGUAAAUAUGUUUUAUCAUAGUUUUUUGUAUGAUUAUAUUUACUCAAAUGUGUUUGUAAAAAAUAACAUAUACAUUCUUCAAUUAUGUUUUUUUUUAAAUACAUAUGAAAUGAACUAUGAAAUUCUAUCAUAACCAAAAAAGAAGUUAAUAAAUAUUUUAAAUAUUUAUAAUAAUAUUUAGGU
Molecule: long non-coding RNA, 1534 nt
Filed under: Piliocolobus tephrosceles (Ugandan red Colobus)
Lineage: Eukaryota; Metazoa; Chordata; Mammalia; Primates; Cercopithecidae
Description: lncRNA (ENSPTEG00000012461.1)
Source: RNAcentral